RNAcentral lists this small RNA (2077 nucleotides) under Pongo abelii (Sumatran orangutan). RNAcentral's name for it is "retained intron". The record is from RNAcentral. Lineage: Eukaryota; Metazoa; Chordata; Mammalia; Primates; Hominidae.
UAGUUACUAGACUGGAACCUCAAGUAGCUGCAACCACUAGAAACUCCUCCGGUGGUUCCCUACUCCCUGGUCUCUCCAGAGGGAAGGUCACCUUCUACACUUAACUACCAUGCUCAUUCAUCCGGACGAAAUGCCCAGUCCACUGUCUUCUUCACGCGUUAUUCUCCAGGACCGGGCUCCUCCGCCGCGCACGUUAUUUCCUGUAGAGCGGGCACGAAAUUAAGCACCUUGAGGACCAGCGGUAGACACAGAUUAUCUCCUGUUCCAAGCACGUCUCCCACUAGGAACUUUUUUCACUUGUCACGCUUCUGCUGCUUUUUGAGGAAAACAGGUGAUAUUUGGUUUCCUGCCAGAGUCUUCGUCACUCUCGUAGCUAUGAUGUCUGAGUAAAAAUAGCUCACAUUUUUGCUUAAAAAAUAACGGCCGCGCAAAUUUAUGGUUAGAUUUGUCUCAAGUCUGAAGACCGCGCAUCCUAACUAGUGAGGCGGAAGACACCUAAGGAGCGAGGAGCUGUCGCCGAGGCGAGGCUGCGGAGACGUUCGCUUGCUGGGCCGCGGGACCACCCACCCCGCCAGGAACUCAGUCCGCUCACCCUAAGAAGUUUGGGGCAACUGGACUGCUCCACCGCCAGCUUCCGGACCCACUCCUUGGCGAGCGCAGGAACUCGCUCUCCCAGCAUGCCCCGCGCGGUGCGCCUCUCGGCGCGUUCCGGGUCCUGUGACAGCUCGGCUCGCAUGCCCCACCCACGGCCCCACCCGCGGCCCCACCCCCUGGCUCCCGGCUCCUUCCCCGACUCCCGCGAGUUCCAGUCCCAGCUUCCAGCUCCCCAGCCCCGCCCUCAGCCGCGCGCGCUCUCCCCGCCCCGCCCUCGCUCCUUCGCGUGCGGCCCCCACAGCCAAUGAGGUUCAGGGCCGCGUGCGCAGAUUCAAACGGCGGCUCUUGAGGGAGGCUGGGCGCGAGAUUCGGCGGUGCGGACAAAACCCUGCAGGAGACUGCGAGCCCUGCAGAACUGCUAGCUGCGGGGGAGAGGGCAGGGGUCGGGCGCCUGUGGCGGAGCCGGGCUGGGACCGGGGCGGGGAGGCUGACAAGCGGCGGGAGAAGCCGGCGGAGGGCGGGAUUGCGCCUCCUGACAUGGUGGGGGCAUCCGUGGCCGGGCCGGGCCGGGGCUAAGAGCGGCGCUGCGGGCCGGGGUCGGGGGCGGGUCGCGGUCCGCCCCCGCUGUCCCUCCGUCCUGCCCUGUCGAGGACGUGCGUUCCGCACUCGGCUGCCUCCAGAAGGAGCGAGGGAAGCGGCUAGAGGAUCGGGGAGAAGGAGCAUUCGCCGGAGGCUGGAGGAGGCUGACCCGCGUCCCCGCCCAGCCUGCUCCUAUGCGGUACUUGAAGGAUGGCGAAGAGGUCGCGCAGGUGGGUGGCACCCCUUUCGCCCAGGCCUGUCGGCGCCGUCUCGGCUCAGAUUCUCUUUCCUAUCCCGCUGCCCCCUCCCGCCAUAAGGCCCUCCCCGGCGAGGGCAGAGGUUUUUCUUCCCGCGUCUCCGCGGCCGCUUGGCCUCGAUGGCCGGAGCGCAGCUGCGACGUAUGGAGAGUUGGGGACCAGGGUGUUUGAGGCGCGGGACGUAAGAGAUGCCCAGGUUUCUCGGUGGCUCUCCCCACAAUGCGCGUCCAGAUUCCUGACCUCACGCUGCCGCUUCCUCGAGGCAGGUUUCUUGCCAGGUAAGUCGAGCGCUUUUAGGGAGUUCGCUACGCAGAGAAAACUGGCUGUGUCCUGCCGCGAGGACUUGAAAAUGGUGUUCGGGCGACUCUUUUCUGAAUGAUGGUACAGUCAAAAUAGGAACUACGCGGUGAACCUGGGCGGCCACCCCUCUGCCAGCUUGGCUAUCUUGAAACGUUGUGGAAAAUCAUCUGGGGAAUAGCUGAGAGGACUUUUUUGAUGUUUUCUGUAAUUCCUAUACCCAUAUUCUCAGCUUUAUGUAUAUAUAUAUAUUUUAAUAUCCUCUAUUGGGACCAUGUCACAUAGUAACAACUAGUAGUAACAACUAGUAGCUUGAUCUUAAAAUAAAACAAUGUGUUUGAUUCACUUAA